Molecule: RNA transcript, 3305 nt
Organism: Monopterus albus (swamp eel)
Lineage: Eukaryota; Metazoa; Chordata; Actinopteri; Synbranchiformes; Synbranchidae
Gene name: poly(ADP-ribose) glycohydrolase
Exons: 19
Source: RefSeq, a predicted model, not a curated record
CAUGAGUGACAGGACUACACAUAUAUGGAAGAGGAUGUCCGAAACGCUGUUUUACUUUACUACUAAAAUUGUCUCAAGUGGAUGAGUUUCUUCUUUUAUUUCUAUAUUAAUCGGCGUUGGUACUAUAAAGACAUAUGUAUGUAGACAUAUGUAGCUCUUAACGUUAACAUAAGCUUUGUUUUGGUGGUGCCCGAAUCAAACUUCCUGCGUUAUUACAAGAAUCAAUCGAUCCUUACUGCUAUAAACGCAAAGAACAGCAUUAUAGGGGAGCUAUCGCGUUAUUUAGUAUUCGUUACGUCACUUGGGGGCGGAAGUGUUUUGGCGUGGAAUAGAAAGUACAUUUGUUGGAAGAUAUUUCUACUACAACGCUUCUCCUUUAUGCAGUACCUGCUCAGAAUACUGGCGUUUGUCUAAACCCGUUUAUAUAUACAUUUUAUUAAAAAAAAAACAACAACAACAACAAACGGUGUAGUUUAUGUCUAGUUAACGUCGUGUCUGCGCAGUCUUGGCUAACCCCUAAAUCCGAGUGCACCGAAUAAUAUCAAAUACACAAAAACAUUGUUGCCAUUUAACCAAGUGUUUAGUUGACCUUGCUUAGUCAGUUAGCAUUAUGUCUCUGACUAAAGCACUUAAAUAGACUGUUAUGUAUGGCUGCAAUCCAUAUUUUAAGAUUUGCUCACCAAACAUUAAAGAAAGGACUGUCCAAGAAACAGGUCUGGACAAAACCAACUAUCUUCUCUUUCGUGGUGACAGCUCAAGUUGUAUUAAUGGCUGAAUUGACAGACUUUGAACCUUUAGCAAAGAGACUCAGGGUUGAAACCAGUGCCUCAGGGUCUCCUCCGUCUUCUCUCCAAGCUCCAUGUUUAAGUAGUAAUAGCAUAGAUAAUGAGGCAGUAGAUCAAGAAAAGAGACAAAAGAACACUGAGCCCAAGAUGGACAUACGACCAAAGGCUGGAGCAGGUGGUUUACAAGGAGUAAAGAAGAAAACCUUCCAACAAAAACACAAACAACAUAAACAGAGAUUCAGAAACAGUCUUGAAGAAUGGCUGGUCAAGCCCAGAAAAGACCCUAGUACAGCUGAAGUGUGCCAAAGCCAAUAUGAUGCAAAUAUGACAGAUGGUGGUGGUUUUCAAAGUACUUCAGCUCAGUCUGUGGACUGCCAAAAUGUUGAAAAAUUUACUGUGUCUGACAUGAAUCAAGAAGAAGAAGAAACCCAACCCCUGACACCACAAGACCUGGAGGAAGACCAGCCUUUGUCACCAGCAUCCAAGGAUUCUGCAGGGAUUGGUCAUAAGCACACUUUGCUCCUCAGUGAUGGUGAAUUAGAAAAACAAGAAAUGGAAAGAAACUCAGCCAUCUCAGAGGGUUCUGCCAAACACAAUACCAAAAUAACAGACUUCUUCUCAAGGACCUCAUCACCAAGUUUAUCUAGGAGAUUGACCAGGCCAGACAAGCAUCCAGAGAAACAAGAUGCAGACAAGGAAACUACCUCUGCUGAUGUCAAGACUAAAGUCAAAUGGCUGGGAACGCCAAUCAGUGAGUUAAAGAGAAUGCCUCAAUGUGGCAGGACGCUUCCACGACUGAAGGAUGUUCCUGGUCAGCACACUGUGAUGAUAAGGACAGACCUUCUUCAGCAUGAUAAAGUUCCUGUUCCAUAUCCUGCCAAGUUUGUGGAUACCUGGGAUGAUGUCCAUGUCAAAAAGCCUUUUUCCAGUAGUAACCUUUUUCCUGUAAAAGAUCAGGAAACACAAGAACGACAGAAUAAGAGUCGGUGGGAGUUGAUCAAGAAAGCAUUAAGCAAGAAAUUCACAAGUCCUUGUGAGCUGAAGAAUGCAAUAUUGAAAUACAGUGCCUCCCAGGCCAAGAAAUGGGACUUCACAGCCUUAGAGUUGUACUGCACUAAGGUCCUGGAGUGUGAUGCUGCUGAACAUCUGUUUGGCUCCCUGCUGCCAGACAUGGUGCAAUUAGCGCUGAGAGGAUCUGAGCUCUGUACCAAGCCGAUACCCCUCCUUAAAAAAGGAAUGAACCACUCCAUCACCAUGUCUCAGGAGCAGGUGGCUUGUCUGCUCGCCAACGCCUUCUUCUGCACUUUUCCACAACGCAGCUCCAGAAAAACGCCGUACCACAACUACCCAGACAUCAACUUCUUCAGGCUGUUUGAAGGUCUCUCUUCAAAAAAGAUCGAGAAGCUGAAAACAUUGAUGUGCUAUUUUAAAAGUGUCACUGAGCAAAAGCCUACUGGACUUGUAACUUUCACACGAAGAAGUUUGGAUAAACCCCUUAAUUGGAAAAGCUCACAGAUUCCGCUUACGAAGCUGCACAUUACUUGUGAAGGGACCAUUGAGGAUGAUGGUCAUGGAAUGCUUCAGGUGGACUUUGCCAAUCGGUUUGUUGGGGGAGGAGUCACCAGUUCUGGUUUAGUCCAAGAGGAAAUUCGUUUUCUGAUCAACCCUGAGCUGGUUGCUUCUCGCCUCUUCACUGAAGCCCUGUAUCAUAAUGAGUGUCUGAUUAUUACAGGUACGGAGCAGUACAGUAAAUACACCGGCUAUGCUCAGACCUAUCAGUGGGCUGGUAGCCACCAGGACACAACUCCUAGAGAUGGCUGGCAGAGAAGAUGCACAGAGAUUGUAGCCAUUGACGCACUGCAUUUCAGAAACUUUCUUGAACAGUUUCAUCCGGACAAAAUCAACAGAGAACUCAACAAGGCCUACUGUGGCUUUGCCCGCCCUGAGGAGCGAAGCCAAAACCUUGCAGCUGUGGCUACAGGGAACUGGGGCUGUGGGGUGUUUGGAGGUGAUGCACGUCUGAAAGCUCUGCUCCAGAUGCUGGCAGCUGCUGAGGCGGGCCGAGAUGUGGCCUACUUCACCUUUGGUGACAGCCAGCUCAUGACAGAUGUCCACAACAUGCACACUUUUCUCAGUCAGAGGAACAUCAGUGUUGGGGAGGUGUAUGAUCUGCUGGGGCGGUACUACAGCACAGUGUGCAAGAGCUGUCUCGGUCGGCGCCCUGACGUCAAUCUCUACUCCUUCAUCUACCAACAGGUCAGCUCCUCCCAUGUGCCCAGCGACUCCAACAGGGGCUUGGCCAGACAACACGUCCCUGCAGACAGCCGUUAAGCAGUGCUAGUGGUGUGGAUUUCCAGACUGGAAUGUGGGCAUGAAAUAUGUUUGGUGGAUUGCAGUGAAAUGGCCCCUGACUUUUCCUCUAGCGCCACCAGCAGAUCUGAGAGUUUACCCAGUUGGUCAUCUUGUCCCUCCUCUCUAAAAGCUUCUUUUGGAGAACCUCUCCAACACCUCCAGGAGCCC